This 274-nucleotide ribosomal RNA is filed under the name uncultured bacterium. RNAcentral's name for it is "partial 16S ribosomal RNA". It matches the Rfam family "Bacterial small subunit ribosomal RNA", at positions 523 to 796 of the family's 1533-position model. The record is from RNAcentral.
AUACGGAGGGUGCAAGCGUUACUCGGAAUCACUGGGCGUAAAGCGCGCGCAGGCGGCUAUUUAAGUUGGAUGUGAAAGCCUACGGCUCAACCGUAGAACUGCAUCCAAAACUAUUUAGCUAGAGUGUGGGAGAGGAAGAUGGAAUUAGUUGUGUAGGGGUAAAAUCCGUAGAGAUAACUAGGAAUACCAAAAGCGAAGGCAAUCUUCUGGAACACUACUGACGCUGAGGCGCGAAAGCGUGGGGAGCAAACGGGAUUAGAUACCCCGGUAGUCC